RNAcentral lists this ribosomal RNA (490 nucleotides) under uncultured bacterium. Its description in RNAcentral is "partial 16S ribosomal RNA". It matches the Rfam family "Bacterial small subunit ribosomal RNA", at positions 30 to 507 of the family's 1533-position model. The record is from RNAcentral.
AUUGAACGCUGGCGGCAGGCCUAACACAUGCAAGUCGAACGGUAACAGGGAUCAGCUUGCUGAUUCGCUGACGAGUGGCGGACGGGUGAGUAAUGUCUGGGAAACAGCCUGAUGGAGGGGGAUAACUACUGGAAACGGUAGCUAAUACCGCAUAACGUCGCAAGACCAAAGAGGGGGACCUUCGGGCCUCUUGCCAUCGGAUGUGCCCAGAUGGGAUUAGCUAGUAGGUGGGGUAACGGCUCACCUAGGCGACGAUCCCUAGCUGGUCUGAGAGGAUGACCAGCCACACUGGAACUGAGACACGGUCCAGACUCCUACGGGAGGCAGCAGUGGGGAAUAUUGCACAAUGGGCGCAAGCCUGAUGCAGCCAUGCCGCGUGUAUGAAGAAGGCCUUCGGGUUGUAAAGUACUUUCAGCGGGGAGGAAGGGAGUAAAGUUAAUACCUUUGCUCAUUGACGUUACCCGCAGAAGAAGCACCGGCUAACUCCGUG